CGCAAUAUAAGUAAUAUGAAAGAUAUAUUUCUUUAAAAAAUUAAAACAAGUAUAUAAAGAAACUAUUAUGGAAAAUUAGCUAUAUAUUAAAGAAUAUCUAGUGAAUCUAGUUUUCUAAGAGAAAUUGAAUAAUAAACGAAGUGAAUUGAAAUAUCUUAGUAACUUUAGGAAAAGAAAUCAAACGAGAUUGUUAUUUGGUGUCAACUAAAUAACAAAAGCCUGAUAACAAAACUUGUUAAAGUAAAAUGGAUUAAAAUCUGUUUGAAUAUAGGGGAACCUUCCUCUAAGGCUAAAUAUGAUAUAUAAGCGAUAGUAAAAAGUACCGUGAGGUAAAAUUUGAAAUAGUAGUUUUAUAAGCAGCUCGAGUGAAAUUUAAAAUAAAUAAUAAGAGCGUACCUUUUGCAUAAUGGGUCAGCAAGUUAAUUUUAGAUGCAAGCAAUGAUUACUUGGAAAAGUAGCAAGUAACUAGCUUAGAUAAACCAAUUAUGAAAAAAUGAAUAAGUAUCUAGAAUUAGACCCGAAGGCUAGUGAUCUUACCAUGAUCAGGGUUAUAAAAGCCCGAACGGGUUAUCGUUGUAAAGAUAUCCGAAGAAUUGUGGUAAGUUAGUGAAAGACAAAACUGACUAGUAUAGCUGGUUUUCCGCGAAACCUAUAUGAGUAGGUAAUUUAACUAACAUCUUAGCAGGUACAGAACUGUGAUCUCGGACAAUAUCUUUUGAUUUUGUCAACAUCGGGGGGUUGUAGUGACUUUACCGGAGAGUAUUUGCACUCGGAAUGGCAAAGAUGAAUGUUGAAUAAUCGGACAUAGUGCGAUAAGGUUGUAUGUCUAAAGGGAAACAGCCCAGAACAAGAGUUAAGGUUCCAAAAUUAUUGUUGAGUGAAAUUAAGGAUGUUUUUUUUUAAAACAAUCAGGAAAUAGGCUUAGAAGCGGCCAUUUUUUGAAGACCUCGUAACAGAGCACUGAUUAACUUUUUUAGAAAAAAAUACUGAAAAUUUAACGGAUCUAAAUAAUAUACCGAAAUCUUGUACACAUAUUUAAUAUAAUAAUAUUGUAUAUGUGGGGUAGCGGAACAUUGGAUAAAUAUUAAUUACAUAAUAUUUAUAAAAAUAUUAUGUAAGUAUGGAUAAUUAAGGCGAAUAUAUUAUAUAACAUGAAUGUUAGGAUGAUUAAAUAUGAACUCUAUAUAUCUUUAUAGUUAAAAAUUAAAAUCUGAGAUAAUAUAAAUAAAAAAUUAUUCAAAAUAAAAUCCAAGAGAUAAUGCUGACAUGAGUAACGAAAAAGGAAUAUCCUCGCCUUAAGCUUAUGGUAUUAUAUUUAAUUUUCGGUAUCUAAAUAUAUUAAUCAAAAGGUAAUUUUGAUGAAAUUUAUAUAUAAAUACUUAAAAGUAAAAAACAAAACCUUUAAUAAGUAAUAAAGGUUCUGGAAAAUUUUUUACUUUUAUCUAAAGUAUAAUAUAUACCGUACCUAGAUACUAUCACAAGUAAGCAAGUAGAGAAUACAAAGGCGUUUGAGUGAACAAUCAUUAAGGAACUCGGCAAAUUGACUCCGUAACUUCGGAAUAAGGAGGGCCAUUAUUAGAAGUUUAACAUAUCUUAUGAUAUGAUUUAAUUAAACUAAUGAUAAGAGGAAACAUGAAAUAAUGUUGUACGACUGUUUAAUAAAAACACAGCACUCUGCAAAGAUAAAAUAUCAAAGUAUUGAGUGUGAUGUCUGCCCAAUGUCGGCUGGGUAACAGAUUUACCUUGGUUUUUAACUGAGGUUUUGAAGGAUACCCCGAUUAAUGGCGGCCUUACCUAUGAGGGUCCUAAGGUAGCGAAAUACCUUGGCCGUUAAAUGCGGUCCUGCAUGAAUGACUUAACGAUACAACAGCUGUCUCGAUGAUUGUCUCAGUGAAAUUGGAAUAGCAGUGCAGAUACUGUUUACCUCUAGAUAGACGAGAAGACCCUAUGCAGCUUUACUGUUACUAAUUGCAAAAGUAAAAAUUUGGAGUGAUUACUAGUGUAUAAGGUAGUUGUCUGAUAACAAUGAAACACCUUUAUUCGUCUCCUAUUAUAUGCUUUUGAGGAUUGGGAGGCAGUUUAUGCGGGGCACAGAUCCCACAAAAAGUACCUGGGUAUAUCCAAAGUUCAUUUUGUAAAUUUGUAAAUUUAUUUACAAAUAUUUUAAUUUGUUAUAAUUAUAUUUAUAAUUAUACAGUUAUUGUUAGAUUAAAUUCAACAUUUAUUUUUAAUUUAAGUAAGAUUUUAACUAUAUGGUGAAUAGAUGUAUUUUAAACUUUAAUAUUUAAAAGUUUUUUGUCAUAUUAAUAUUGUAUAAUAACCUUUAUUAUUAUGAUGAUUAAUUAUACUUUCAAAGUUUAAUGGCUAAAUCUUGCUUUACUGUUUGACCUACAAGUCUAUCAGUCGCGUAAGCGGGGCAUAUGAUCACAAGAUGCAUAAAGGAAAGGUCUUGGAUUAUAGAAAAAGUUACGCUAGGGAUUUAUAACUGUGAGUCCUCCAAUAUUAAAAAUUAUUGGUAAUAUAUUGGGUA
This 2530-nucleotide ribosomal RNA is filed under the name Aspergillus affinis. RNAcentral describes it as "large subunit ribosomal RNA". It matches the Rfam family "Bacterial large subunit ribosomal RNA", at positions 1 to 2523 of the family's 2925-position model. The record is from RNAcentral. Lineage: Eukaryota; Fungi; Ascomycota; Eurotiomycetes; Eurotiales; Aspergillaceae.